GUCCAUCAUGGCCGACCAAGAAGAUGUUCAAACAACCAAGAGAUAUGUUAGUCCAAAGACAGAAUGAGGAGCGAAUUUCUACCACUUAUUUGUGUAGAAGAGUAUGGUACCAGGGGUGCAGCUGACUCUGAUUCCCGGCUUCUUCGAAUGAAAAAAGGCAGAUGAGGCACUGGAAUCCGAAUGUAAUCCGAAUGUAAUCAAAAAUGCCAUUGUAUGAGGAUUGACCUGCAAUGCAUGGAAAUCAUCUAACCCAACUGCAACGCCUACCUUGGAAAAAUGAGUGCAAGAUGGAAACAAAGCGUUCAGUGGAACAUCUUGUCAUAAAAGUCAUCUGUUGGUCCGUGAUUAUUAAAUAAAUCCGAACAUAUAUUUUAAAAGGGUAAAAUGGUAAAGGAUUUAUCUACGCUUAAAGUGGUUUUCCUAUAUUAUGGAGGGAAGAUAACUACAAAAACAGAAACAGAUGGCAUCAACAGACCGAAAUAAAGGAGAACUAUUUUGUUCAGUUCAAUUUUUAAGACUUCAGAAAAUCUGUUAAUAGGGCACAUCCUUGCAAAUGCCAUAUUGUAAACUGGGCUCUUUAAAAUGUGAAAAGGCGAAAGUGGUCUAGAGGAUAAGCCUCAAAUUCAAGGUUGUGAGUUCAAGACCUCCAAGAUACUUUCUCUUGACCUCAGGAAAAGGAUGCCCAUACUUGUUUCUACUUAGGCAACAGACUUAAGAGUGAUUUUGUAAGCUUCCAGCUUGCAUAGCAAUUUGAUAAGGCAUAACAAAAAGAUGCAAGCUGACUUGCAAACAGUUUUUCCAUUUGUGUUGAUUUAUUUUUCAGUCUGUUGGAAUGUUUAUUAGAAGUGAUGCGCAUUGCUUACUGUAACCAAUAUUUAUGUUCUUUAUUAAGUUAUUAAGUUAAAUUUAACGAACACAUAACAUGGCUUGUGAUUUUACAAAUGCAUGUUUAUUUCGUUGAUUGUAUGAGUUUAUUUUCUCAAAUGAUGUAAUAAAAGUUAUUCUGAAUGACUGUCCUUUUUUGUUUGAA
Molecule: long non-coding RNA, 1030 nt
Organism: Mya arenaria
Lineage: Eukaryota; Metazoa; Mollusca; Bivalvia; Myida; Myidae
Exons: 3
Source: RefSeq, a predicted model, not a curated record